RNAcentral lists this ribosomal RNA (748 nucleotides) under uncultured bacterium. RNAcentral's name for it is "bacterial SSU rRNA". It matches the Rfam family "Bacterial small subunit ribosomal RNA", at positions 62 to 805 of the family's 1533-position model. The record is from RNAcentral.
UCGAGGGGCAGCGCGGGUAGCAAUACCUGGCGGCGACCGGCAAACGGGUGCGGAACACGUACGCAACUUACCCAAAACUGGGGAAUAGCCCGGGGAAACCCGGAUUAAUACCUCGUAACAUAAUUGAAUGGCAUCAUUUGAUUAUUAUAGCUCCGGCGGUUUUGGAUGGGCGUGCGCCUGAUUAGGUAGUUGGCGGGGUAACGGCCCACCAAGCCUACGAUCAGUAACUGGUGUGAGAGCACGACCAGUCACACGGGCACUGAGACACGGGCCCGACUCCUACGGGAGGCAGCAGUAAGGAAUAUUGGUCAAUGGACGCAAGUCUGAACCAGCCAUGCCGCGUGAAGGAUGAAGGUCCUCUGGAUUGUAAACUUCUUUUAUAUGGGAAGAAAUCCACUUUUUCUUGAGUGGUUGACGGUACCAUAGGAAUAAGCACCGGCUAACUCCGUGCCAGCAGCCGCGGUAAUACGGAGGGUGCAAGCGUUAUCCGGAUUCACUGGGUUUAAAGGGUGCGUAGGAGGGCAGGUAAGUCAGUGGUGAAAUCUCCAAGCUUAACUUGGAAACUGCCGUUGAUACUAUCUGUCUUGAAUACCGUGGAGGUGAGCGGAAUAUGUCAUGUAGCGGUGAAAUGCUUAGAUAUAACAUAGAACACCAAUUGCGAAGGCAGCUCGCUACACGAAUAUUGACUCUGAGGCACGAAAGCGUGGGGAUCAAACAGGAUUAGAUACCCUGGUAGUCCACGCCCUAA